RNAcentral lists this ribosomal RNA (771 nucleotides) under uncultured bacterium. Its description in RNAcentral is "bacterial SSU rRNA". It matches the Rfam family "Bacterial small subunit ribosomal RNA", at positions 8 to 796 of the family's 1533-position model. The record is from RNAcentral.
AGAGUUUGAUCCUGGCUCAGGACGAACGCUGGCGGCGUGCUUAACACAUGCAAGUCGAACGGAAAGGCCCUUCGGGGUACUCGAGUGGCGAACGGGUGAGUAACACGUGGGUGAUCUGCCCUGCACUUUGGGAUAAGCCUGGGAAACUGGGUCUAAUACCGAAUAUGACCAUGCACUUCCUGGUGUGUGGUGGAAAGCUUUUGCGGUGUGGGAUGGGCCCGCGGCCUAUCAGCUUGUUGGUGGGGUAAUGGCCUACCAAGGCGACGACGGGUAGCCGGCCUGAGAGGGUGACCGGCCACACUGGGACUGAGAUACGGCCCAGACUCCUACGGGAGGCAGCAGUGGGGAAUAUUGCACAAUGGGCGCAAGCCUGAUGCAGCGACGCCGCGUGAGGGAUGACGGCCUUCGGGUUGUAAACCUCUUUCAGCACAGACGAAGCGUGAGUGACGGUAUGUGCAGAAGAAGGACCGGCCAACUACGUGCCAGCAGCCGCGGUAAUACGUAGGGUCCGAGCGUUGUCCGGAAUUACUGGGCGUAAAGAGCUCGUAGGUGGUUUGUCGCGUUGUUCGUGAAAACUCACAGCUUAACUGUGGGCGUGCGGGCGAUACGGGCAGACUUGAGUACUGCAGGGGAGACUGGAAUUCCUGGUGUAGCGGUGGAAUGCGCAGAUAUCAGGAGGAACACCGGUGGCGAAGGCGGGUCUCUGGGCAGUAACUGACGCUGAGGAGCGAAAGCGUGGGGAGCGAACAGGAUUAGAUACCCUGGUAGUCC